RNAcentral lists this long non-coding RNA (1321 nucleotides) under Papio anubis (olive baboon). Its description in RNAcentral is "lncRNA (ENSPANG00000046830.1)". The record is from RNAcentral. Lineage: Eukaryota; Metazoa; Chordata; Mammalia; Primates; Cercopithecidae.
AUGGCACUGUAUUGGUACUGCAUCCCCACAGUAUGGUGGGGCCUCCCAUCUCUUUGCUGGGCCCCAAGGCUGCCUCUGCUGAUCCCUGACUACCAACCUUAUUUGCAGCUUCUUGACAGUUACUUUGAAGCCUACCAGCACACGUUGGACCCUGAGGAGAGGUUCGCCUUAGCACAAGUGAUGACGGACAUCGUGCACCGGCGCCCGAGGUUUGAUCUCAGCCACCCCUAUUUCGUUAAGGCCUACCGAGAGGAAUGCACCUGCCUGAGGCUUCACCUGCAGUUAGUGAGGGGCAUCAUCACCCAGCAGAUAGAAUGUCAGCAGGAGUAUGUCCAGAGGAUUUGGCGAGAGGAUCAUCUGGACAAUAGCAAUACAUUUGGACUUCCCCUUAAUAUAGUUUGCAAACAACUUAUUUCCAUCAACAAUAGCUGGUAAGUUGAUGUUGUCUUUAUACAUUUUAUGUGUGAUCUUCUAGAUUAAUUAAGGAUAGAGUGUUAAAUCUCAGUACUACUCUAUAAAGCACUUCUCAAGUGCUUGGGGGAGAUGAAAGAAAUAGGUACAAAGGCCACAAAGGAGGGAUUCCCUUGUAUAUUGAGUAUCUUUUUGUUUUGUGAAUAAUAAAGAAUAGGAGGCUAGAAUUUAAACAUAUGCCGCUGGGUACAGAAUCAUCAUUCUCUUGAAAAGGCCUGGGGAAAAAGCAGUUGCUCUUGAGAUGCUGUCAGGAUUUAACCAGAUGCACCACACGAGCCUACAUGUAUAAAGCUUGAAGGUGCUUAAAAGCUUCUUAAAAAGGAAUUUAAGUGUCACUAAAGAGGUUUCUGCAGAUUUGCCUUGGAGGGUCACAACAGAGUUAAAUUUAAGGAACAGAGUUAAAUUUCCUGUGACCACUCAGAGAUGGUACACACUUUGUCACCCCCUAGAUAGGCAGCAUAACCAUCUCCCUCAUUCCCUUUUAACCUUUGAGGGUAGAGGAAACUGGGAAGCAGGUGACAAGCCGCAAGUUGAUCUGCAUGGCUCUAGAUCACAAUCUCUCAAUUGCCUCCAAAUGGGUGGAGAAAAUUUCAACAUCCAACAAAUAUUUGUUUGGCACACAGAUGUGAACAACACAGGCAUGGUUCUAUGUUCCUGUGAGGUAUACAGUCCAGCAGUAAAGGCAGACUUUAUGUAAGAAAUUGCCAUAAUGGGUUAUGGUAUUAUCUUGGGGACAGGCAGGGCAUCAUGGGAGCAAAUAUCUGAGAUUCUCAUUUUUUGAGAAAGAGCCCCAGGCUCAAAACUCUGCAUUUUCUCCAUAGAUCUUCCACAGGACUGAUUUCUUCUCUGU